AGUGAACGCUGGCGGUAGGCCUAACACAUGCAAGUCGAACGGCAGCACAGUAAGAGCUUGCUCUUACGGGUGGCGAGUGGCGGACGGGUGAGGAAUACAUCGGAAUCUACUUUUUCGUGGGGGAUAACGUAGGGAAACUUACGCUAAUACCGCAUACGACCUACGGGUGAAAGCAGGGGAUCUUCGGACCUUGUGCGAUUGAAUGAGCCGAUGUCGGAUUAGCUAGUUGGCGGGGUAAAGGCCCACCAAGGCGACGAUCCGUAGCUGGUCUGAGAGGAUGAUCAGCCACACUGGAACUGAGACACGGUCCAGACUCCUACGGGAGGCAGCAGUGGGGAAUAUUGGACAAUGGGCGCAAGCCUGAUCCAGCCAUACCGCGUGGGUGAAGAAGGCCUUCGGGUUGUAAAGCCCUUUUGUUGGGAAAGAGAAGCAGUAGGUUAAUACCCCGCUGUUCUGACGGUACCCAAAGAAUAAGCACCGGCUAACUUCGUG
RNAcentral lists this ribosomal RNA (492 nucleotides) under uncultured bacterium. RNAcentral's name for it is "partial 16S ribosomal RNA". It matches the Rfam family "Bacterial small subunit ribosomal RNA", at positions 29 to 507 of the family's 1533-position model. The record is from RNAcentral.